CUUUCCUCUCUUGGCUUCUAUUUUUUUAUGUUUUUAGAUUUAUUUAUGUUAUUUUUAUUUUUUUUGUAAAGGUUUUAUUUAUUUAUUGGAGAGAAAAGCACAAGCAGGAGCAGAGGGAGAAGUAGACUCCCUGCUGAACAGGGAUUUCUCCCCCCCACUCCCCUGCCGAGUGUGGGGCUCAAUCCCAGGACCCUGAGGUCAUGACCUGAGCCCACCUAACCGACUGAGCCACCCAGGUACCCCUAGAUUUAUGUUUUCACUUUUAAGUCAUCUCUACACCCCACCUGGGACUCAAACUCACAACCCCGAAAUCAAGAGUCCUAGGCUCCAUGGACUGAGCCAGCCCGGUGCCCCUCUUGCCUUUUGUUUUUGACUGGCCUGCGAAAUGCUUCCCAAGAGCCUGCUCCCGGACUCCUUCCAUCCCCCUGGCUGCUUGUGUGCUCUUUGCAGACCAGGCGCUAACAGGGCAGUGGCGAGCCUCCAACCAAUUAACAGCUUUUCUCGGUGGCCCAGUCCCUCCCUUGUAGGUGUUGUCGCCCAAAUGCAAUCUGGUCUGACAGCCUAGAAAGAUGAGAUAAGAGGUAGGUAGUGAUCUUAAGUCAUAUUUCCUGCCUUCAAGACCCAGGAGUCUUGAAGGGGGACAAAAAGACAAAAAGAAAUGACCCAAGUCAGCUUCCUCCUAAACAGCUCCUGAUCGCGUUUACAGGGGAAGGAAAACAAAAAGGCCUUAUCUAUACGAGGCACUUGCCAGGAUACAACUGGUCUAUUUAAGUUCCUUAUGGAAAAUAUGCCGGGAAGGGACGACCUGGUGGGGCCUAACCUACGGGAAAGCGCGAGCAUCAGCUGGGUCAUUACCGGAGGGUAAAGCGAAGCUGUUUCCUGCCCCGUCUACGCACGCAGUGCCCCACGUGCAGCUCUCACCAGCGCUCACGUUCACUCUGGACCAGGGCGUGCCAGCGCGUGAUGAGGAAGGAUGUGGAGCUACCCUGGGCGGCCCACACUUCUUCGUGUCUCCAGUCUCAAAGCUCCUGGAGCUUUGGAAUGACUAGAAAAGGCCAAUCCUGGACAAGAUCUCUGACUUCUUGUGAGUUUGAUGGAAGAAUCUCAACUUUUGUGUUAUCUCAGAGAUUAGGGAGAAGAGUGGGAUUGCUUGACACCUUUAAAAGCCUCUCGAAUGCCUGGCGUAAUAGAAGACAGCGGCAUUCUCUCUUCUGCUUUCAGCCCGUUAAAAUACCCCACUGUCAGGCAACUUUGGAAGAAGCUCAGCCUGCGCUCCUGAGACAGUGAGUGUGAAGAAGACCACCAUGUGCCCUUGGAGCCACCAUGCUGUGAGGAAGCCCCAGUCACACGGAGAGGCUCACGCGGAGAGAAGCCAGGGUUCUGGGUCCUUCUGGGUCCUCUACUCCAGCUGAGCUCCCAGACAACAGCCCACAUCAACUUGCAGCCACAGGCAUGAGCCCUGGAAAGGGAUCUUCUAGACCCCAGUCAAGCCACCCCAGAUGAUUCUGGGUGAAGCAGACAUGAGUAUUCCCUGCUAGGCCCUGCCCACGUUGCAGAUUCAUGAGAAAAACAAGUAACUCUUUCAAACUAUUGGGUUUGGGCCUGGUUUCUUACACAGUAAUAUAUACCCUGAAUAACACCCAUGGAACUACUACCAGUUCUAGAUAAAGAAAAUUUCUGUUAACCCAGAAGUUUCCCUCAUCUACCCUCCUAGUCAACCAUCCAGUGGAAGGUAAUCACUAUUCUGACCCCUAGCACCACGUCUUAGUUUUGCCAGUCGUGAAGUUUCAUAUAAAUGGAAUCGUGAUGUAUUUUCAUGUGGCUCUUUAGCUCAAUAAGUAAUGAAAUUAAUCCACAUUGUUUCAGGAUUAAGGUUUGUUCUUUUUCAUUCAUCGUAUAACUAUACCACCAUUUAUGUACUCUACUAUUGAGAAUCACUGGCCAUUUAUGAUGAGCAAAGCUGCUAGGCACACUUCCGUAUUUUCUUUGGAUUUACAUAUGUCUUAGUUUUUGUUGGGAUUAUACCUAGGAGUUCAACAGCCAGAGCUUUUGUGGUGUGGUAGUUUUGAAACAUGUCCAUAAAUUCUCUGAUACCCCUUGGAAUCUGGAUGGACCAGAUUACAGAUUAGCAUAUGUAACUAAUGGAAUGCAGUGGAUAUGACCUUGCAUGACUUCCAGGCUAUGUCCAAAAGAGUGAUGCAGUUCUACCUGGUUUUCUUGGGACACUUGCUCUAGGAAGUAUCCAGCCAGUGUUUCUUCACAUGCUGCCCCACCUCUUUCCUGUUCCCCUUCUAAUACUGCAAUAUAUAUUAGUCCUUUCUCAUACGAUUCACAGACAUACAUUCUUUUCUAUAUUUUCUGCCCUUUUCCCUGUAUUUCAAUUUCAGCCUCUACUGACUUGUGUUCUAGUUAUAGUCAUCAUCUGCUCUGCUCUACUUGGCUAUUAAACACACAUUAUUUAGGUAUUAAUGUGUUUAUAGUAUUUUUUUUUCAGGUUAGGAGCCUCCACUUUCAUGGAUUAAAUGUUGAAAUUCUCCAUCUUUCUUCUAUUUUCCUGAUCAUAUCAAACAUGGUUGUUUUAACGUCCUUGUCCGAUAAAUCCAAUAUCCGAACCAUCC
This is a long non-coding RNA of Mustela putorius furo (domestic ferret), 2618 nucleotides long. NCBI's taxonomy places the organism in Eukaryota, Metazoa, Chordata, Mammalia, Carnivora, Mustelidae. The record is from Ensembl.